UGAGAUUAUUAGAAAGGUUGAA
Molecule: non-coding RNA, 22 nt
Filed under: Rattus norvegicus (Norway rat)
Lineage: Eukaryota; Metazoa; Chordata; Mammalia; Rodentia; Muridae
Source: RNAcentral